This 774-nucleotide ribosomal RNA is filed under the name uncultured Neocallimastigales. RNAcentral's name for it is "partial large subunit ribosomal RNA". It matches the Rfam family "Eukaryotic large subunit ribosomal RNA", at positions 23 to 639 of the family's 3401-position model. Lineage: Eukaryota; Fungi; Neocallimastigomycota; Neocallimastigomycetes; Neocallimastigales. The record is from RNAcentral.
UAUGUGAUCGUCUCUUGCAUAUCAAUAAGCGGAGGAAAAGAAACUAACAAGGAUUCCCCUAGUAAAGGCGAGUGAAGCGGGAAGAGCUCAAAUUUGAAAUCUUAAAGGGUUUCCCUUACGAAUUGUAGUUUAAAGAAGUGUUUUCUGUUGAGGUUUUGGUAAAAGUUCUUUGGAAUAGGACAUCAUAGAGGGUGAGAAUCCCGUAUUUGACCUUUACUUUCAACUUUGUGAUACACUUUCAAAGAGUCGGAUUGUUUGGGAAUGCAGUCCAAAAUGGGUGGUAAAUUUCAUCUAAAGCUAAAUAUUGGCGAGAGACCGAUAGCGAACAAGUACCGUGAGGGAAAGAUGAGAAGAACUUUGUAAAAGAGAGUUAAACAGUACGUGAAAUUGUCAAAAGGGAAGCGUUUGACACCAGUGUUGUUUUUCUGAAAAUCAAUUAAAGAACUGUUUAUGCUAAGCUGUUUAGACUUUAUCAGCUAUCUGUUUAGUUUUGAGCUUUUCUUUAAUGCACUUUUCAGUUAACAAGUCAACAUCAAUUUCUUUUGUUGUAAAAAAGCUUGAGGAAGGUGGCUUGAGAUUCGUCUUAAGUGUUUAUAGCCUCUUGCCUAUGCAGUCGGAGAGAUUGAGGUCUGCAGCGUAGAUCCUUCGGGGCUAAAUGCAUUUGUGCUAAGUUAUAGCAUUUUAUAGACAACUUGUUGACUAUGAUUUGUCUUGUAGCUUACUCGCUUAUGUUAUUUUACCUACGCUUAGGAUGUUGACGAUCAGCUGAGCGCG